UCUGCCGUGGGCGCUGGAGAACUGAGGGGGGCUGCUCCUAGUACGAGAGGACCGGAGUGGACGCAUCACUGGUGUUCGGGUUGUCAUGCCAAUGGCACUGCCCGGUAGCUAAAUGCGGAAGAGAUAAGUGCUGAAAGCAUCUAAGCACGAAACUUGCCCCGAGAUGAGUUCUCCCUGACCCUUUAAGGGUCCUGAAGGAACGUUGAAGACGACGACGUUGAUAGGCCGGGUGUGUAAGCGCAGCGAUGCGUUGAGCUAACCGGUACUAAUGAACCGUGAGGCUUAACCUUACAACGCCGAAGCUGUU
This 307-nucleotide ribosomal RNA is filed under the name Escherichia coli. RNAcentral describes it as "partial 23S ribosomal RNA". It matches the Rfam family "Bacterial large subunit ribosomal RNA", at positions 2641 to 2925 of the family's 2925-position model. Lineage: Bacteria; Pseudomonadati; Pseudomonadota; Gammaproteobacteria; Enterobacterales; Enterobacteriaceae. The record is from RNAcentral.